Molecule: ribosomal RNA, 160 nt
Filed under: uncultured bacterium
Lineage: Bacteria
Description: partial 16S ribosomal RNA
Source: RNAcentral
CACGUAGUUAGCCGGUGCUUAUUCUUCAGGUACCGUCAUUAGCCGAGGAUAUUAGCCUCAGCCGUUUCUUCCCUGACAAAAGAGCUUUACAACCCGAAGGCCUUCUUCACUCACGCGGCAUUGCUGGAUCAGGGUUGCCCCCAUUGUCCAAAAUUCCCCA